GACGAACCGUGCGAACGUUAUUCGGAAUCACUGGGCUUAAAGCGCGUGUAGGCGGGGCGGCACGUCCGUCGCUGAAAUCCCCCGGCUCAACCGGGGAACUGGCGGGGAUACGACCGUCCUGGAGGGACGUAGGGGGACCUGGAACUUCCGGUGGAGCGGUGAAAUGCGUUGAGAUCGGAAGGAACGCCCGUGGCGAAAGCGGGUCUCUGGGCCGAUAUUGACGCUGAGGAGCGAAAGCGUGGGGAGCAAACAGG
Molecule: ribosomal RNA, 254 nt
Filed under: uncultured bacterium
Lineage: Bacteria
Description: partial 16S ribosomal RNA
Rfam family: Bacterial small subunit ribosomal RNA
Source: RNAcentral